RNAcentral lists this ribosomal RNA (468 nucleotides) under uncultured bacterium. RNAcentral's name for it is "partial 16S ribosomal RNA". It matches the Rfam family "Bacterial small subunit ribosomal RNA", at positions 28 to 507 of the family's 1533-position model. The record is from RNAcentral.
GACGAACGCUGGCGGCGUGCUUAACACAUGCAAGUCGAACGGAAAGGCCCUGCUUUUGCGGGGUGCUCGAGUGGCGAAGGGGUGAGUAACACGUGAGUAACCUGCCCUUGACUUUGGGAUAACUUCAGGAAACUGGGGCUAAUACCGGAUAGGAGCUCCUGCAGCAUGGUGGGGGUUGGAAAGUUUCGGCGGUUGUGGAUGGAAUAGCGGCUUACCAGCUUGUUGGUGGGGUAGUGGCUUACCAAGGGUUUGACGGGUAGCCGGCCUGAGAGGGUGAACGGGCACAUUGGGACUGAGAUACGGCCCAGACUCCUACGGGAGGCAGCAGUGGGGAAUAUUGCACAAUGGGCGGAAGCCUGAUGCAGCAGCGCCGCGUGCGGGAUGACGGCCUUCGGGUUGUAAACCUCUGUCGCCUGUGACGAAGCGUGAGUGACGGUAAUGGGUAAAGAAGCACCGGCUAACUACGUG